UACGAAGGGGGCUAGCGUUGUUCGGAAUUACUGGGCGUAAAGCGUGCGUAGACGGUUAUUUAAGUCGGAUGUGAAAGCCCCGGGCUCAACCUGGGAAUUGCAUUCGAGACUGAAUAGCUAGGGUACGGUAGAGGGAAGUGGAAUUUCCGGUGUAGCGGUGAAAUGCGUAGAUAUCGGAAGGAACAUCAGUGGCGAAAGCGACUUCCUGGACCAGUACCGACGUUCAGGCACGAAAGCGUGGGGAGCAAACAGG
Molecule: ribosomal RNA, 253 nt
Filed under: uncultured bacterium
Lineage: Bacteria
Description: partial 16S ribosomal RNA
Rfam family: Bacterial small subunit ribosomal RNA
Source: RNAcentral